UACGAAGGGGGCUAGCGUUAUUCGGAUUUACUGGGCGUAAAGCGCACGCAGGCGGCCAAACAAGUCAGAGGUGAAAUCCCAGGGCUCAACCCUGGAACUGCCUUUGAAACUGUUUGGCUAGAGUUCGAGAGAGGAUGGUGGAAUUCCUAGUGUAGAGGUGAAAUUCGUAGAUAUUAGGAGGAACACCGGUGGCGAAGGCGGCCAUCUGGCUCGAUACUGACGCUCAUGUGCGAAAGCGUGGGUAGCAAACAGG
This 253-nucleotide ribosomal RNA is filed under the name uncultured bacterium. Its description in RNAcentral is "partial 16S ribosomal RNA". It matches the Rfam family "Bacterial small subunit ribosomal RNA", at positions 524 to 776 of the family's 1533-position model. The record is from RNAcentral.